UUUAACUGAAGAGUUUGAUCAUGGCUCAGAUUGAACGCUGGCGGCAGGCUUAACACAUGCAAGUCGAGCGGGGGAAGGUAGCUUGCUACUGGACCUAGCGGCGGACGGGUGAG
This 113-nucleotide ribosomal RNA is filed under the name Acinetobacter baumannii. Its description in RNAcentral is "partial 16S ribosomal RNA". It matches the Rfam family "Bacterial small subunit ribosomal RNA", at positions 1 to 110 of the family's 1533-position model. Lineage: Bacteria; Pseudomonadati; Pseudomonadota; Gammaproteobacteria; Moraxellales; Moraxellaceae. The record is from RNAcentral.